AACGGGAGUUCAGCUACUUCCGCACUUCCGUUUGCCUCACUUCCACCUGCGUGAUUACUUUCACUGGGAAGACGAAGGUGACUGAUAUCCCAGAGAAAUUCUGAGGUUUCUUCACAGCUGCAGAAACACCAAUGAGAUCCUCUGUGAACCAAGGACAGCUGAACCAGGCAGAUACAGGCAACACCGGAAGCGAGCCAACGAAGUGACGGGAGCAAGCAGGUCACUCCAAAGGGAGCCUGAGUGAUUGAUGCCCUGGUGUCGUGCUGAUUGACUUCAUGGUUGCAUACCCUGGAAGAAGGGAUGAGGUACAGAUGAGGUUCACCGUGGUGGGGCAAUCACAGGCGCCCAGGACAUACUUCAUCUGUAGCCCCCCCCUCCGCCUUCCCUUCUCCCUAUGGAUGGCUCCUCUGUCCACCCACACACCUUGCAGGUUGCGUGGGGCUAAAGGCAGGGCGGCUUGUCGGCGUAGAAAGCACGACCCCGGCGUGAACACACUUGUUUUGCUUUGGUGUUUGAUGGAGAAUUUAGGGGUCAGUUGGUCUUGAACCGUGCUCUCCCAGGAGGUCAAUACGACCAUUGUGUUCUGACAUGGAAGGGCUGCAGACCAGGGAGUUACCUGUGGUGUACAACUGUCAGUCAGUUAGUACGUGGAUUUAAAGCUCCUGUAUAUCAUAUAAACCAGAUUCCAGAACACCACAAGCUCUUUCAUUUUUCUUGAUUUUUACUGUAAUCUUACAGGAUAACUCGCUUUUAAAAUUUUAAGCUUUAAACCUUCUAAAAAAUGUACGAUUAGAGCUACACUUCAGACAAAGUAUGCACUAGAACUGUAUGUUAAACACAAAGUGCCCUGUGCAUACACAGGCCUGGUACUGUAUUUAUAUUGGGUUUUACUGUGAUGAGAAACAGAUGGAGUGUGUCAAAGAUAAAAGGGAAGGAAGUAUGAAGUAUGACUAAGGUUAUAAUGAUGGGGAGCCAAGACCCAGGAGACCAAAUACACAUUUUCCUCUCUCUCUCCUUCCUGUUCUCUGUUUUGCAUUUGCUGAUUUUUUUUCUUUCUAUUGGCUGCUCUCUAGAUGUUUGCUUAUUUAGCCCCAGACCAGAUUCACACCAAAUCAAUCCGUGGUACCACAGAAGAAUAAUUCCCCUUCCAGCAGUUAUCGGUCCGUGCAGAGAUGGGAAAAAGCUGCAGGAAGGGGAAGUCUUAAGUGGCCGAGUGCCGGCUGGUAGUGAAGCCAGACUAAUAUCAAGCUCAUUGCUCAGUUCUUCAGCCAGUAUCGAUCUACCAUAAUGUAUGUUUAGCUGAUCCUGUUCUGAACUCCUUUCAGUAAACAGGCCCCAGUCAAUACUGUCACACCAUGUUUGACUAACACCGCCAUGCGUUGCCAACAACCAGCACCUCUCUGACUCGCACUGCAUGUCAAAUGAAGCGAGUCGGAGCAAGGACUCGCCUCAAAAUCCAGCCACUCAAAGCCAGCCAACAUUAAACUGCACUCAGAAUGGUCCUAGCGGCAGAGGUGGUGAUGCUAAUGGGCUACAAACUGUCAUGUAGCUGUGUUGUUUGUGUCAUCUCAGAGAGCCAGCCCCCUAUGUGCACCUGCUGCUGCUGGUGGGGUUCAUUAUGGAUUUCUCUAAUGGCUUUUAGAGUUUUAAUAGCAGGGUUUUGCAUGGAGCCGGUAAUGAAUAACUAGAUGUCGUCCCUGUGCCUAAUGAGAGAGCCCACUGUUUUUCAGAGACACAAGGAGGAGAUACGCAUGGCAGGCAGCUCCUGGACUGCAUCUUUAUUUAUUCAUUUGUACGUAUUUGUUUUUGUGAUGGAUUAUUUGUGGAACAGUCUCAGUUUUGGAGGAAAACAUACAGAACUUUUACUGGCUUGCUGGCUUACUUUUUUGUGCAGAGCUGUUUUGUGUAUCAGUUUGUGAAGUUUUUAAGUGCGAAGCCGAGUAUUCAUAGCUCCCCUUAACAGCCAAUAUGCUACCCAGAAGGCUACUGUGUUGGGAUUAUGCACCUGUGGUACUAAUAAGGCUGGCCCGUCUGACAUCAGUCAUACCCACCAGCUGGCUUUUUCAGCUGAGAAAAUAAAGUCCAAAAACAUGAAAGCACAAACUCUGAAUUCUUUACUUCAAAGUGAUCCUGCAUGACCUUUUAUCUUAAAAAACAAAUGAAACAAUGAGAAUAAAAAAACAAACAUCUGUUUGGAACAAUAUCACACUUGAGAGAGUGUUGUUAUACUGAAUAUCAGCACGGCUAAGAUUUUUGCCAAAUGCUGAAAGCAUGCUGAUAUUCAGUACAACAGCAUGGCCUCAAGUGCAAUAUCACUUUCAUACAGCAGUUGACUUACGAAUACAAUAAGUGACAAAGACAAGACAAAACAAGUUUUUUUGUUUAUUUUAUUAGAAACUUGUCUCUGCAUACACAAUAAGCACCACAACUUGACUGAAACUACUCUGUUGCUAAAAAACAUAAAUAUUUUCCUGGACACCUGCUUUUUUUUGGGGCGGCAGUAGCUCAGUCUUGGACUUGGCUGGGGAACCGCAGAGUCGUGGAUUCGAGUCCCAGUAUGGACAAAGUGUGGCAAGUGGACUGGUGGCUGGAGAGGUGCUGGUUCUAUUGCCUGGACACUGCCGAGGUGCCCUUGAGCAAAUGGCAAGGCACUGAACCCCCAACUGCUCGGGUGGCGCUGGUUGAUGGCGGCCUCCUCACUGUGAAAGCUCUCCUGAGUGCAUGUCCAUAGCAUGUUUGUGCAUGAUUGUAUGUGUAUCAAACUAUGUGUGUGUGUAGCAUGAUCAGAAAAGAACACAAGUGAAAAUGAUGAA
Molecule: long non-coding RNA, 2813 nt
Organism: Notolabrus celidotus (New Zealand spotty)
Lineage: Eukaryota; Metazoa; Chordata; Actinopteri; Labriformes; Labridae
Exons: 4
Source: RefSeq, a predicted model, not a curated record